CUGCCUACGGGGCGCAGCAGUGGGGAAUAUUGCACAAUGGGGGAAACCCUGAUGCAGCAACGCCGCGUGCGUGCCGCCGUCUUUUGGUCUGUCCCGCUCUAUCAGCAGGGCCGGGAAUGCCGGUACCUGACUAAGAAGCCCCGGCUAACUACGUGCCAGCAGCCGCGGAAAUACGUAGGGGGAGAGCGUUAUCCGGAUUUACUGGGUGUAAAGGGAGCGUAGACGGUUCUGCAAGUCUGAAGUGAAAGCCCGUGGCUUAACCGCGGAACGGCUUUGGGAACUGUGGAACUGGAGUGCUGGAGAGG
RNAcentral lists this ribosomal RNA (305 nucleotides) under uncultured bacterium. RNAcentral's name for it is "bacterial SSU rRNA". It matches the Rfam family "Bacterial small subunit ribosomal RNA", at positions 335 to 657 of the family's 1533-position model. The record is from RNAcentral.